Long non-coding RNA from Magallana angulata, 417 nucleotides. RefSeq lists it as uncharacterized. The record is from RefSeq and is a predicted model, not a curated record. Lineage: Eukaryota; Metazoa; Mollusca; Bivalvia; Ostreida; Ostreidae. The transcript has 4 exons.
CCUGUUUUAGCUCUUCUCAAACACAGGCCAUUUGGACCUUUCUACAUGGCAAAUUGCUGCGGUAGAGUUCAUGUCUUGAGUGUGACAACUUCAACAUCUUAGCAGAAUUCGAUGGAGAAUGCAUCUUCCAUUUUCGUUCGCCAGACUGGACGAAUCUUCAAGCAGAAGAUACAGUGGCGUUGAAGGGAGAUUCAAAACUGUUACAAAUGAGGAAAUAGAGAAAUUUUUCGACUCCAGGCAAGCAAAAUCAACAAAAAGAAAUACAGCAUGGGGAUUUUUCAAGAUUGGAACAUGGAGAUCUAUGGUUCUGUACUAAUGGUGCAACAUUAGACCUGCAAACAGCAAAUGUGUCAACUCUUGCCAGUCAUCUCUCGUGAUUUUAUUGUGAAGCCAGCCCCAAAGAAAAAGUUGAUGAUG